RNAcentral lists this ribosomal RNA (441 nucleotides) under uncultured prokaryote. RNAcentral's name for it is "bacterial SSU rRNA". It matches the Rfam family "Bacterial small subunit ribosomal RNA", at positions 355 to 796 of the family's 1533-position model. The record is from RNAcentral.
UGGGGAAUAUUGCACAAUGGGCGCAAGCCUGAUGCAGCGACGCCGCGUGGGGGAUGACGGCCUUCGGGUUGUAAACCUCUUUCACCAUCGACGAAGGCCUGGUUUGUGCCGGGUUGACGGUAGGUGGACAAGAAGCACCGGCCAACUACGUGCCAGCAGCCGCGGUAAUACGUAGGGUGCGAGCGUUGUCCGGAAUUACUGGGCGUAAAGAGCUCGUAGGUGGUUUGUCGCGUUGUUCGUGAAAACUCACUGCUUAACGGUGGGCGUGCGGGCGAUACGGGCAGACUGGAGUACUGCAGGGGAGACUGGAAUUCCUGGUGUAGCGGUGGAAUGCGCAGAUAUCAGGAGGAACACCGGUGGCGAAGGCGGGUCUCUGGGCAGUAACUGACGCUGAGGAGCGAAAGCGUGGGGAGCGAACAGGAUUAGAUACCCCCGUAGUCC